Molecule: unclassified non-coding RNA, 253 nt
Filed under: uncultured Caryophanales bacterium
Lineage: Bacteria; Bacillati; Bacillota; Bacilli; Caryophanales
Description: uncultured Bacillales bacterium contains 16S-23S intergenic spacer region
Rfam family: Bacterial small subunit ribosomal RNA
Source: RNAcentral
UACGGAGGGGGCAAGCGUUGACCGGAAUUAUUGGGCGUAAAGCGCGCGCAGGCGGCCCUUUAAGUCUGAUGUGAAAUCUUGGGGCUCAACCGCAAGCGGUCAUCGGAAACUGGCGGACUUGAGUACAGAAGAGGAGAGCGGAAUUCCACGUGUAGCGGUGAAAUGCGUAGAGAUGUGGAGGAACACCAGUGGCGAAGGCGGCUCUCUGGUCUGUCACUGACGCUGAGGCGCGAAAGCGUGGGGAGCAAACAGG